UAUUAUUUAAAAUGUAAAUAUAAAUACUUAAGUAGUAAUAGUUAUGUUCUUGAAACUUAAAAAAUUUGGCGGUAUUUUAGUCUAUCCAGAGGAACCUGUUUUGUAAUCGAUAAUCCACGAUGGACCUUACUUAAAUUUGUUAUCAGUUUAUAUACCGUCGUUAUCAGAAUAUUUUAUAAGAAUUAUAAUAUUCAAUAAUUUUAAAAAGAAUUUAUAUCAGAUCAAGGUGUAGCUUAUAUUUAAGUAAUAAUGGGUUACAAUAAAUUUAUUUAAACGGAUAAAAUUAUGAAAAAAUUUUUGAAGGUGGAUUUGGUUGUAAAAUUAUAAAGAUUAAUAAUUUGAUUUUAGCUCUAAAAUAUGUACACAUCGCCCGUCGCUCUUAUUAUUAAGGUAAGAUAAGUCGUAACAUAGUAGAUGUACUGGAAAGUGUAUCUAGAAUGA
Molecule: ribosomal RNA, 441 nt
Filed under: Drosophila serido
Lineage: Eukaryota; Metazoa; Arthropoda; Insecta; Diptera; Drosophilidae
Description: partial 12S ribosomal RNA
Source: RNAcentral